AGACGGUAAUAUCAUAUAAGUCUUCAAACCUAGAGAUAUGAUUUGUUACUUACAAGUUGGUUAUGCAUUGACUGUACGAAACCGCAUUGGUAACUCGAUGUUAUAAAACGUACUUUUGUGUGUAAUUCAAUGAGUGGUAGAACAAACAUAUGAGUCGAAGUUUAUCUGUUCCUUCUUGGAUUAGAAGCUGAUAUCUGGGCCCCUCGAUGAUUUUGUUUUGACCCAUGUACCGGGCCCGGUCAGAACUAAGUUGAUGUGUUCAAUUAAGUUCUAUGUCAAACAAAUCGGAAAUCGGGAAACAAAUGCUGGACAAUAAGCAAGAUAAUGUUCCAUGUAUUUGUCCGGCUGAUAUCUAGAACGGAGGAUUAUAUGAUCACUUAUCUUAAAUGGCGUACCAUCAUCUUCUCAGUUCCGAGAGACCUUGAAAGAGCUACGAUUGCCGGUCGGUUCCUGAAGUACUAGAGAUAUAGUUAUUAGACUUAUCCAAGUGGGAGACUGUUGGAUAAGGUGUCUAAGUCCAUAACUAUUUCGGGCUUGUACUUGACCCGACCCGGCAUGGUCCAUUUGGGUUGCAUGGCACCAUGCAAUUGGAUAGACUAAAUGAGAGAAAUAACACUUGGAGAUUAUUAAUAUAUUAUAAGUUCUAAUAUAUUAAUAAUAUUAUUUGAUUAGUUGAUCAAAGAAUUAAUUUGGAAUUAAUUAAGUGAUCAAAGGAUAACUAAUUAAAUAUAUGGGUUGAUUAUGUAAAUCAUCCAUAUCUUGUAUAGUGGGCUAAGAGGCUCCAUGGAUUAUCAAGUUGGGUUCUACCCAUAGGAUGCUCCAUGGGAGUUACAAACCCAUGGGUCAUGGAAAUGAAGAGUCAUGACACAUUAGGGUUUACAUGGUGUAACCCUAGAUGUGUCAACACUAUAUAAGAGACCCAUUCUCCACAAAAUUGGCUACACAAGUUGAACACUAAGAAACUAGAGGGCUUGGCCGAUUUUGAGAAGUGUGUAUUAUCUCAAGAGUUUUUUCCAAGAG
RNAcentral lists this long non-coding RNA (1020 nucleotides) under Lactuca sativa (garden lettuce). RNAcentral's name for it is "long non-coding RNA (LSAT_LNC004299)". The record is from RNAcentral. Lineage: Eukaryota; Viridiplantae; Streptophyta; Magnoliopsida; Asterales; Asteraceae.